GACGAACGCUGGCGGCGUGCUUAACACAUGCAAGUCGAACGGUCAACGAGGGAGCUUGCUCCCUCCGCGUCAGUGGCGAACGGGUGAGUAACACGUGAGCAAUCUGCCCCGAACUCUGGGAUAAGCUUUGGAAACGACGGCUAAUACCGGAUACGACGCUGGAGGGCAUCCUCUCCUCGUGGAAAGCACUUCUGUUCGAGAUGAGCUCGCGACCCAGGAGCUUGUUGGUGAGGUAACGGCUCACCACGGCGACGACCGGUAGCCGACCUGAGAGGGUGACCGGCCACACUGGAACGGGGACGCGGUCCAGACUCCUACGGGAGGCAGCAGUAGGGAAUCUUCCGCAAUGGGCGGAAGGCUGACGGAGCAACGCCGCGUGAGUGAUGAAGGUCGUCGGAGCGUAAAACUCUGUUAUUAGGGAAGAACAAAUGUGUAAGUAACUAUGCACGGCUUGACGGUACCUAAUCAGAAAGCCACGGCUAACUACGUG
RNAcentral lists this ribosomal RNA (490 nucleotides) under uncultured bacterium. RNAcentral describes it as "partial 16S ribosomal RNA". It matches the Rfam family "Bacterial small subunit ribosomal RNA", at positions 28 to 507 of the family's 1533-position model. The record is from RNAcentral.